UGGGGAAUUUUGGACAAUGGGGGAAACCCUGAUCCAGCCAUCCCGCGUGUGCGAUGAAGGCCUUCGGGUUGUAAAGCACUUUUGGCAGGAAAGAAACGUCGCGGGUUAAUACCCCGCGAAACUGACGGUACCUGCAGAAUAAGCACCGGCUAACUACGUGCCAGCAGCCGCGGUAAUACGUAGGGUGCAAGCGUUAAUCGGAAUUACUGGGCGUAAAGCGUGCGCAGGCGGUUCGGAAAGAAAGAUGUGAAAUCCCAGAGCUUAACUUUGGAACUGCAUUUUUAACUACCGGGCUAGAGUGUGUCAGAGGGAGGUGGAAUUCCGCGUGUAGCAGUGAAAUGCGUAGAUAUGCGGAGGAACACCGAUGGCGAAGGCAGCCUCCUGGGAUAACACUGACGCUCAUGCACGAAAGCGUGGGGAGCAAACAGGAUUCAGAUACCCUGGUAGUCCACGCCCUAAACGAUGUCAACGUCA
RNAcentral lists this ribosomal RNA (474 nucleotides) under uncultured bacterium. RNAcentral's name for it is "partial 16S ribosomal RNA". It matches the Rfam family "Bacterial small subunit ribosomal RNA", at positions 355 to 820 of the family's 1533-position model. The record is from RNAcentral.